Molecule: ribosomal RNA, 493 nt
Filed under: uncultured bacterium
Lineage: Bacteria
Description: partial 16S ribosomal RNA
Rfam family: Bacterial small subunit ribosomal RNA
Source: RNAcentral
AUUGAACGCUGGCGGCAUGCUUUACACAUGCAAGUCGAACGGUAACAGGUUAAGCUGACGAGUGGCGAACGGGUGAGUAAUGCAUCGGAACGUGCCCGAUCGUGGGGGAUAACGCAGCGAAAGCUGCGCUAAUACCGCAUACGAGCUGAGGAUGAAAGCGGGGGACCGGAAGGCCUCGCGCAAUCGGAGCGGCCGCUGUCAGAUUAGGGAGUUGGUGGGGUAAAGGCUCACCAAGCCGACGAUCUGUAGCUGGUCUGAGAGGACGACCAGCCACACUGGGACUGAGACACGGCCCAGACUCCUACGGGAGGCAGCAGUGGGGAAUUUUGGACAGUGGGCGCAAGCCUGAUCCAGCAAUGCCGCGUGCAGGAAGGAGGCCUUCGGGUUGUAAACUGCUUUUGUACGGAGCGAAAAGGCUCUCUCUAAUACAGGGGGCUCAUGACGGUACCGUAAGAAUAAGCACCGGCUAACUACGUGCCAGCAGCCGCCGUAA